GUCAGGUGACCUCCGUCAGGAAGGUCCAGCCCCAUGAUCCUGCCAUGAGGUUCCACAACAGCCGUGUACACAGCAAAGUUGGCUGGAGAACCUUCCAGAAGAAACACAGUACCGGAGCAACUCAAGACACUGCCCCCUACAGGUGGAGAUGGGAAUUGUGGUUUCUGGUUGAGUCUGCACAAUAAAUUGGUGAAAAAGCA
Molecule: long non-coding RNA, 200 nt
Organism: Oryzias latipes (Japanese medaka)
Lineage: Eukaryota; Metazoa; Chordata; Actinopteri; Beloniformes; Adrianichthyidae
Source: RefSeq, a predicted model, not a curated record